Tympanuchus pallidicinctus (lesser prairie-chicken) is the source of this 681-nucleotide long non-coding RNA. RefSeq lists it as uncharacterized. The transcript is spliced from 3 exons. The record is from RefSeq and is a predicted model, not a curated record. Lineage: Eukaryota; Metazoa; Chordata; Aves; Galliformes; Phasianidae.
UUUGCAUGAUGAUUCAGGAGAAACAGCUGUUCAGGAUCAGAGGGGACACAGGCAAUGGGGCUUGUGCUGGGGGAGAUCAGGGAGAGGAGGACACUCAGAUUGGUGAAGCCUCAGCAUCUCAUGGGCAUUACAGUGCAUGGAGCUGGCUGGUGCGUCACCCAACAUUUCCUCAGUCCAUGCAUUUAAGCAAGACAAAGCAGGAGAUGACAAGCCCCUGAGGAAAAAAAGCAAAGUUGCAAGAGGCUAAACAGAAGAUAAGAGCUACAUAACAGAAAAGAUGCUCUCAAAAUACAUGUCAAGGACAGCAAAAUAAAUAGGAUCUUGACCCCUGAAGUCACUGUCAGCUUCUUCCCAGCACAAAGUCUAAUUGAAGACACUAGUGAUCUGCUGGAAAUUUUGUUGGGCUCUGUGAAAACUGUGCAUCAGAAUUUGUUUAGAGAAUGUGAUGUGUUUAUUCAGAGAAUUAACUCAAAACAGCUGAAAUUCUUAGUUAAAAAUACUAUGGGUUUGAUCAAUAACAUAUACUUUGUUUUUUAAUCUGCUUUUAUGUUAAUAAAUUCUCCACUCUUAGGUACUUAUUUCUCCUUCUAAUUCUCCUCAGGCUUUUAGCUAUCAUUUUCCUCCUUCUUACAGAAAUGUUCUACUCCUAACUAUGGAAAUAAAUCAUCAGUUACAACACUA